This 587-nucleotide ribosomal RNA is filed under the name uncultured Burkholderia sp. RNAcentral's name for it is "bacterial SSU rRNA". It matches the Rfam family "Bacterial small subunit ribosomal RNA", at positions 335 to 915 of the family's 1533-position model. Lineage: Bacteria; Pseudomonadati; Pseudomonadota; Betaproteobacteria; Burkholderiales; Burkholderiaceae. The record is from RNAcentral.
ACUCCUACGGGAGGCAGCAGUGGGGAAUUUUGGACAAUGGGCGAAAGCCUGAUCCAGCAAUGCCGCGUGUGUGAAGAAGGCCUUCGGGUUGUAAAGCACUUUUGUCCGGAAAGAAAACUCCGUUCCUAAUAUGGAUGGAGGAUGACGGUACCGGAAGAAUAAGCACCGGCUAACUACGUGCCAGCAGCCGCGGUAAUACGUAGGGUGCGAGCGUUAAUCGGAAUUACUGGGCGUAAAGCGUGCGCAGGCGGUGAUGUAAGACCGAUGUGAAAUCCCCGGGCUUAACCUGGGAACUGCAUUGGUGACUGCAUUGCUGGAGUAUGGCAGAGGGGGGUGGAAUUCCACGUGUAGCAGUGAAAUGCGUAGAGAUGUGGAGGAACACCGAUGGCGAAGGCAGCCCCCUGGGCCAAUACUGACGCUCAUGCACGAAAGCGUGGGGAGCAAACAGGAUUAGAUACCCUGGUAGUCCACGCCCUAAACGAUGUCAACUGGUUGUCGGGCCUUCAUUGGCUUGGUAACGUAGCUAACGCGUGAAGUUGACCGCCUGGGGAGUACGGUCGCAAGAUUAAAACUUAAAGGAAUUGACG